Colobus angolensis palliatus is the source of this 299-nucleotide unclassified non-coding RNA. It matches the Rfam family "Metazoan signal recognition particle RNA". Rfam says of the family: The signal recognition particle (SRP) is a universally conserved ribonucleoprotein. It is involved in the co-translational targeting of proteins to membranes. The record is from Ensembl. Lineage: Eukaryota; Metazoa; Chordata; Mammalia; Primates; Cercopithecidae.
GCCAGGCAUGAGGGCUUGUACCUGUAGUCCCAGGUACUCAGGAGUUUGAGGUGGGAAGAUUGCUUGUUCCCAGGAGUUCUGGACUGUAGUGUACUAUGCAAAUCAAGUUUUCACACUAACUUCAGUAUCAGUAUGGUGACCUCCCAGGCGCAGGGGACCACCAGGUUGCCUAAUGAGGAGUGGACCAGCCCAGGUCAAAAAUGGAGAAGAUCAAACCUUCUGUUCUUGUCAGUAAUGGAAUCACCCCUGUGCAUAGCCAGUCACUCUAGUCUGGGCAACAUAGCCAGGACCCUGUCUCA